Molecule: ribosomal RNA, 253 nt
Filed under: uncultured bacterium
Lineage: Bacteria
Description: partial 16S ribosomal RNA
Rfam family: Bacterial small subunit ribosomal RNA
Source: RNAcentral
UACAGAGGGCCCAAGCGUUGUUCGGAUUCACUGGGCGUAAAGGGUGCGUAGGCGGUUUGGUAAGUCUGACGUGAAAUCUCCGAGCCUAACUCGGAAACUGCGUCGGAUACUAUUCAACUCGAGGAAUGGAGGGGAGACUGGAAUUCCCGGUGUAGCAGUGAAAUGCGUAGAUAUCGAGAGGAACACCAGUGGCGAAGGCGAGUCUCUGGACAUUAACUGACGCUGAGGAACGAAAGCGAGGGGAGCAAACGGG